AAGCGUUGUCCGGAUUUAUUGGGCGUAAAGAGCUCGUAGGCGGCUCGUUGCGUCGGCUGUGAAAACCCGCAGCUCAACUGUGGGCUUGCAGCCGAUACGGGCGGGCUGGAGUUCGGUAGGGGAGACUGGAAUUCCUGGUGUAGCGGUGAAAUGCGCAGAUAUCAGGAGGAACACCGGUGGCGAAGGCAGCUCGCUGGGACGUGACUGACGCUGAGACGCGAAAGCGUGGGGAGCAAACAGG
This 241-nucleotide ribosomal RNA is filed under the name uncultured bacterium. RNAcentral's name for it is "partial 16S ribosomal RNA". It matches the Rfam family "Bacterial small subunit ribosomal RNA", at positions 536 to 776 of the family's 1533-position model. The record is from RNAcentral.